UACGUAGGGUGCGAGCGUUAAUCGGAAUUACUGGGCGUAAAGCGUGCGCAGGCGGUUUUGUAAGCCAGAUGUGAAAUCCCCGGGCUUAACCUGGGAAUGGCAUUUGGGACUGCAAGGCUGGAGUGCGGCAGAGGAGACUGGAAUUCCUGGUGUAGCAGUGAAAUGCGUAGAUAUCAGGAGGAACACCGAUGGCGAAGGCAGGUCUCUGGGCUGACACUGACGCUCAUGCACGAAAGCGUGGGGAGAAAACAGG
RNAcentral lists this ribosomal RNA (253 nucleotides) under uncultured bacterium. Its description in RNAcentral is "partial 16S ribosomal RNA". It matches the Rfam family "Bacterial small subunit ribosomal RNA", at positions 524 to 776 of the family's 1533-position model. The record is from RNAcentral.